GGGAACCAUGCCCGUCCAGGGAGAACCCUCCCACAAGCUGCGGCUGCUGAAGGAAGCCCAGACCUGCCCAGGCAGAGACUCAGAUAUAUCUGCCCACAGGAGAGAAUGCAACAGUCCGAGAUGUGCUUCCAGGCAUGCAGAGAGGCGAGGGCUCACCCCAGGUGCAAAGCCUGCUGCUGUCUGGCCAACCUCCACCUGCAUCAAAGGCCAUCCACAUCAGGGGCUGGCGCCAGUGGGCACAGCUGGCUCUCAGACCAACCAAGUCCUACACCCUCUUUAUCAUGAAUAAAUGCAUGAUAAAGAAAGUGAUAUUUUCAUCUCCGCCAUCUGCCUCUCUUGACCGACUGUGCCCAUGGACAAGAAACAAGAAGCAUGCCCUGUUGUACCUGGUGACCCUGGUGCCCAACUGUUUGGUUGACCCGUUCUAUUGUUUUGUCUUCUAAGCAUUUACACUUAUCAAAUUUUUUUCCUUCUACUUUUACUGGGUUUGUUCUGUCUUUCUCCCCAAAACUUCUUAAGUUGAACAAUUAAAACAAUAUCUUAAAGAGUACCUUUCUUCUUCACCAACAUAGGCAUUUAAAACUGUAAAUUCCCCUGUAAUUACAAUUUUACUUGCAUCUCCUAAGUUUUGAUAUGCAAUAUUAUUUUGUCAUUCAGUUUUAAAUAAUUACGCAUUUCUAUUUUGAGGUCUUCAUUGACUCAUGGAAUAAUUAGAAGCACAUUUUAAAAUUAAAAAAAUAAAAGCAGUUCAGAGUGGUUGUAGGGGAGGGAGUGACUGACUUCUGAUCUUGUGGCAUUAUGGCCAGAGAAAGUUAUAAAAUUAGAUUUGAUACCGAUUCUCUCAGUAUAGGGUGAUGCCUGCUUGGUGAGCUAAAAAAUAUAUAUGAAUGAUGAUCAGUUUUUCUAAGUUUCAAAGUAUGCUUUAAAAUAAUGCAUAUUCUCUAAACGGGAUGUACAGGUUUUCUCAGAUCACCUUUUUAAACUGUAUUUUAUAAUAUCCUUAUUAACUUGUUUCUGUUUGAUCAAUCUACUGAGAAGUAUGUCUAGAACUCCCAUGAUUGUGGAGGUUUGCCAAUUUCUCCUUAUAAGUCCAUCAAGUUCUCCUCUCUAUCUUGAGGCUACGUAUGUUAGAAGAUCGCGGAUUCAGAACUGUUUCUUUUCCUAGUGAAUUACUUUCUUGGUUAUUGUUUACCAGCCUCCUUGAUCCCUAGCGCUGCAUUUGCUUUGUGUCUCUGCUGUCAGGUGCCACUGUUAGGCUACUUCAUUUGAGGUCAGCAUUUUAACAUCACUUUUCCCAUCUGCCACUUUCUACCUCGAGAGGCGGCAGUGUUUCAGACCCCAGCUGGGUCCCUUAUGAGCUGAGUCACUGACCAAGAUGGGGAAACUGACCAUCAAUAAAAAUAUCAACAUGUCA
This 1414-nucleotide long non-coding RNA is filed under the name Homo sapiens (human). RNAcentral describes it as "HSALNT0290006". Lineage: Eukaryota; Metazoa; Chordata; Mammalia; Primates; Hominidae. The record is from RNAcentral.